Acanthosepion pharaonis is the source of this 111-nucleotide non-coding RNA. Lineage: Eukaryota; Metazoa; Mollusca; Cephalopoda; Sepiida; Sepiidae. The record is from the annotation of a GenBank genome assembly.
ACAGCCAUAUUGCGUUGAUACACCGGUUCUCCUAUGAUCACCGAAGUUAAGCAACGUCGAAUUUGGUCAAUACCUAGAUGGGUGACCGAUAGGAACUCCAGGGGCUGUAAG